Molecule: ribosomal RNA, 451 nt
Filed under: Geocharax sp. 2-MBS-2007
Lineage: Eukaryota; Metazoa; Arthropoda; Malacostraca; Decapoda; Parastacidae
Description: partial 16S large subunit ribosomal RNA
Rfam family: Bacterial large subunit ribosomal RNA
Source: RNAcentral
CGCGGUAUUUUGACCGUGCGAAGGUAGCAUAAUCAUUAGUCUUUUAAUUGGAGGCUUGUAUGAAGGGUCGGACGAGAAAUUAGCUGUCUUUACAGGAAAGAUAAAAUUUAACUUUUAAGUGAGAGGGCUUAAAUAUUCUAAAGGGACGAUAAGACCCUAUAAAGUUUGACAUUUUAUUUUUUGAUGAAUGAAUUAGGACAGUUAAAGUUUAUUAAAGAGUUAGAUGUUUUGUUGGGGCGACAAGAAUAUAAAUAAUUUAACUGUUUUUAUGUAGUUACAAAGAUAAUUGAAUUUGUGGUCCUUAUUAAAGAGUGAAGAAUAAAUUACUUUAGGGAUAACAGCGUAAUUUUUUUUGAGAGUUCAUAUCGACAAAAAAGUUUGCGACCUCGAUGUUGAAUUAAAGGUUCUUUAUAGUGUAGCAGUUAUAGAAGAGGGUCUGUUCGACCUUUAA